GCACAGGAGGCUCAGUCUAAGCAGCCCAAGGGUUGCCCAUCAUUGUCCAUCACCCUAGCUGAGGCAGGACACAAGCAGGACUCUUGUGGGAUAAUGAGAUGUCUGACUUUCUGUGGCAAAUGGAUGAGAACCAUCUCGAGUAACUGAGAAAGUGUGUUAGUGGGUGCUGGCUUACCCUCACUGUGCAAUGGUGAGAGUCUCAAAUCACAGCCCAGGUGGGUCAGGGCCAAUCACCACCAUUGCUGCUGGGCAGCUGCCCAGGAGCACGGAGUACACUCACCAUGGUGGCCCACCUCCAGUGUGGAGGGGUGAUCCUCUUAAAACCUGAGUACAUUAUGGGAGAGGCACAGAGGGACACAUUCAAUGCUUCUUUAUGAAAAACAGCAAUCACCUUUUUGUCCUUCAGUUUGUUCUCUGAGGCAACUUCUUCUGGAGGAAAUUUCACAAGCUGGUUUUGUUCUUUGCCCCACAAACUACAGUUAUAUGCUACCGUCAAGUCUAAGGGUUUCUAGCCCUGAAGGGUCCACUAAAAUUUUGCAAGAAGACUUUUGAAGAGAGGCUUGAGCAUGUGCUGAGUUUCCUGCACUGAGGCUUCCAUCGAAAAUACACAGGGAUGGACUCAAUGUUUGCUGCAGCUUCCUGGGUAUGAGAACGUGUUUGCAUUUUACAUUUGAACUAAAUUCAAGAAAAACAACGUGGCUGUGCAAAAAGGUUUGCCUUUUGUCUUGCUGCUUCUGUGAAAGCUGCCUGGGCUUUCCAUUAGGAGUGAACAGCUUUUAUGAUUUCAUUAUCUCACAUCGGACAAAAUAUUUGAGAACUUUGUGCUUUUAAUAGCUUUGGUAUUCCUACCAUCUCUGACAAUUGCAAUCCGUGUAACCAUUAAGUUUAUUUUUACAUCUAUAAAUAUUUAUUUAUAUAUACCUGUACAUAUAUGUGCAUAUAUCCCUUCAUUUUCACAGCUGGACAGAUAUAGUAUCAGUCAUCAUGAAAGUAUGCUCCUGCAACACUCUGCUCCUGUUUAAUAACCUCUCAAGAUUGAUUUACUCACAUCAGCAUUUUCAAAAACCACGUCAAAAAGUCUCCUUGCAAACUCAUGUAUUGCUUAAAAU
Molecule: long non-coding RNA, 1109 nt
Filed under: Junco hyemalis (dark-eyed junco)
Lineage: Eukaryota; Metazoa; Chordata; Aves; Passeriformes; Passerellidae
Description: lncRNA (ENSJHYG00000015197.1)
Source: RNAcentral